UACGUAGGGGGCAAACGUUGCUCGGAAUCACUGGGCAUAAAGCGCACGUAGGUGGCUUGGUAAGUCCGAUGUGAAAUCCCCCAGCUCAACUGGGGAACUGCGUUGGAUACUGCUGAGCUUGAGGGUUGGAGGGGAGACUGGAAUUCCUGGUGGAGCGGUGAAAUGCGUAGAUAUCAGGAGGAACGCCGGUGGCGAAAGCGAGUCUCUGGACAACAUCUGACACUGAGGUGCGAAAGCUAGGGGAGCAAACGGG
This 253-nucleotide ribosomal RNA is filed under the name uncultured bacterium. Its description in RNAcentral is "partial 16S ribosomal RNA". It matches the Rfam family "Bacterial small subunit ribosomal RNA", at positions 524 to 776 of the family's 1533-position model. The record is from RNAcentral.